AGCGAGACAAGCUACAGCCAAGUCAGAACAAAAACUUCUAGCAACUCAUCAUAACACAACAGAACUACAGCAUUCUUGCUAACUUUAUAGCUAAUUGUAACCGACAUGAAAAAAGGAUAUGCUUAUUACCAAAUACUCACCGAAGCAAAGUUCUAGAGACGCUCGAUCUGGAUCGUAACAUGGCUGAUGUUAUACUCCCUCUUGAUGUAACCAAUCACUUGAUCCAACACAAGCUGAGCAUCCGCAUCGGGUUUGAUAGUCACAUGGCACGCUAGAAGAACCUUUCCUACGGUUAUCGCCCAUAUGUGCAACUCAU
RNAcentral lists this unclassified non-coding RNA (316 nucleotides) under Hevea brasiliensis (rubber tree). The record is from RNAcentral. Lineage: Eukaryota; Viridiplantae; Streptophyta; Magnoliopsida; Malpighiales; Euphorbiaceae.